CUGACGUAAAGCGUCGACGUUCAAAGUUACAUCUCCAAAGUGCAGCUCUGUUCAGAGAUGGCCAAAGGGAAAGCAAAGAGCAACAGCAGCGAGGACUUAGUUCCACCUGAGUCUCGGUCACACAGAUCAAGAAAGAGGAAAUGUCCAAGCGAUGAAAGUUCCCUGACUGAUGAUGUUCAAGCUACUCUUCAUCAACAGAUAAUGCAGGUCACUGAAAGAAAUAAUACAGCAGUUGCUUCUCCACCACUACAGUGUACUCUACAGGAAUGUGCUAUGAUUACACAUCAACAAGAUGAGGGAGUAAAGCAAUCAGAUCUCCUAAAACCAGAUGACUCCAUCAAAGAGAAGCAUGCAGGAGUAAUACAUGAAGCAGCAAGUGUUCACUUAACAGAUGUGGCAGUUACAGGACAGGAAGAGACCAAUGUCACCAAACCCAAGAAUGAUUCUGAGCUGGAGGUAGAUACUGAUAAUGAUGCCAACAACAGUGGAAAGAACAAGGAGGAAAAUGCUUCAGAGGAUCGUAACAAAUCACCAUAUCAAACACGUUGUGGUCAACUCCUCUUGUCAGUCACUGAAGAGGGCGAUGGAUUCGGUGUAGCUGCUUUGGAGAAGAAUCCGGGUGCAAAGGAGGGCAGUAAUGUGGAGGAAAAUCAAGAAACCAACCACAGCAAACCCAGCACCGUGUGCAUGAAUGAUGGCAAGGAACUAACAAAGGAGGCAGCAGUGGUUUUAUCAGCCAAAAAGAAGCGAAGGAUGGAAUGUAUCACAGAGCAGAGUGAGACGGAGCUGCAGCUUCAGUCCAGUCACUGUGAAGGAGAUGACAGGUGAGAGUCAUAUGGUCCAUCUUUAGAUUCAAAGGUGACAACAUGCACGGUGGAAAGAGAUGUGUUAUGUCUAACUCUAGUACUGUUACAUUAUGUAGAUUUUAGCUGUGAGUACUUGAAAAAGUGGUGCAGUGUUGCUCAUUAAAAUUUACACAGAAUAAGUAUGUAACUAAACUUUAGUAGUUCUACAAACGUGAGUUGCGUUAAAACUUUAAGAGAGUUAAAUUUUGGUUGUUUUAGGCAAAAAACUUCACAUAGUAACGUGCAAAUUAAGGUUAUUGUUUUCUAUAUGGGAAACCUGUCUGUCAUGAGUUCAAUAGAAGUCAACAACAUCCCGCUAUGACAGAUGAAAUUUAAUAUUAAUCAACGUUACUUCUGAAAAGUUUUACUGGGAAAACAGUGAAAUUACUCCAAAACACAGUGUUAGAUGUGUCACAUCUUUAAAACAACAACAACAAAAAAAACAUAUCCUCUAUUGCAGCAACAGGAGUAAAAGUAAUUUGUUGCUUCCUUCUUUGACACUAACGAUGUUUGUUGACACACAGCACAGAUACCAAAGUCCUCAUCACUGCCACUGUCUCGGAUGGGACCGGUACUGUGUGCAGUCCAGGUUACUCAGAGGGAAGAAGCUGUGAAGCUGAAGGAGCCACAGUGCCUGGUCCAGAACCAACCGGUAGCUCAGGGUCAGAUCAACCGGCAGAAGAAGAAGAGAGAGAGCAUUUGGGGAACAAGAAGCAGCAGGAACUCGGGGGCAGCACAGCUGAGGUUCUGAUUGAAAUACCUGAAAAACAAAGUAAAAUGGAAGAAGAUGGUUCAACAGACGUCGACUCCAGUUCUUCCCUCACUUUUUACGCAAAACGGGAGAGUGAAAAGCAGGAUGCCAUCGAUGCUGCCAUUCUUCUGGCUAAUAGUGUGACCAUAACAAGAGAUGAGACGAAGGAGAAAACUAGUGAAGCAGUGGAUGGUGAUGGAGCUGGAGAAGCAGACACCCAGUCAGGAGGCUUAAACGCGAGCUCUAUGGAGCUCUGUGAGGCUGCAGUGACACCCAGUGUGUCAGAGAAGAAAGACAAUUGUGAUCCUGAUGACGAACCUUCUGCUGGUUCUCCCACUAUGAACGCUGAGAACACUCAGACCAGAAACCCUGGCGACCCGUCUGGAUGCUUGGAUUACGUGUCAGACUCACAGCUGAACACCAUCGUUUUGAUUGAGGAGAAGAUGACAGAGAAAGAACAGUCUGAUUCCUCAAACAGUCAUGAAGAUGCGUCAGAGCUGAUCUCUGGACUCAUCAGAGAACUUUCCUCUCUGAAUCAGAGGGUCAUGGCUGCGCAUCGAGAGCUGGAGAACCUGCGCCGUGGAAGCAAAAAUUCAAGGAGUUCCAAACGCUGAGGAUUUCCAUCAAAUGCUUGAUAUCCUGAUCUUGAUAGGUUGCCCCAAGUGUUCAUGGGUAAAGGAAGGCACUUUUUAAAAUGUUUUAUAUUUUCGUUCAUCACAGCUGGAGUGUUCAGUUUAAUUCAUUUGUUUAUUGUUCUGGUUCUCUCCAAAUAAAGCUGAGUGGAGUUCGUUCAGUCA
This is an RNA transcript of Acanthochromis polyacanthus (spiny chromis), 2393 nucleotides long. It is a transcript of the gene named histone acetyltransferase KAT6B, with no coding region annotated. NCBI's taxonomy places the organism in Eukaryota, Metazoa, Chordata, Actinopteri, Pomacentridae. The record is from RefSeq and is a predicted model, not a curated record. The transcript has 8 exons.